Molecule: ribosomal RNA, 413 nt
Filed under: uncultured Planctomycetales bacterium
Lineage: Bacteria; Pseudomonadati; Planctomycetota; Planctomycetia; Planctomycetales
Description: bacterial SSU rRNA
Rfam family: Bacterial small subunit ribosomal RNA
Source: RNAcentral
UUAGUUUGAAGCUUCGGCAGAUUUCUAAGAUGGACAGCGGCGAAAGGGAGAGUAAUGAGUGGAUUACCUACCCCCAGGACCGGGAUAGCUGUGGGAAACCGCAGGUAAUACCGGAUAAUAUCUCCGGAUCAAAUGGUGAGAUUCCGCCAGGGGAUGGGUCCGCUUCCUAUUAGCUUGUUGGUGGGGUAACGGCCUACCAAGGCAACAAUGGGUACCGGGUGUGAGAGCAUGGCCCGGCUCACUGGGACUGAGACACUGCCCAGACACCUACGGGUGGCUGCAGUCGAGAAUCUUCCGCAAUGGGCGAAAGCCUGACGGAGCGACGCCGCGUGCGGGAUGAAGGCCUUCGGGUUGUAAACCGCUGUCAGUUGGGAGGAAAUCUAUGGGGGUUCUCCCCCAUAGUUGACCUAUCU